Molecule: unclassified non-coding RNA, 250 nt
Filed under: plant metagenome
Description: partial contains small subunit ribosomal RNA, internal transcribed spacer 1, and 5.8S ribosomal RNA
Source: RNAcentral
GUAGGUGAACCUGCGGAAGGAUCAUUAUAGAGAACUUGCCCCCCGGGGUAGAUUCCAACCCUCUGUUUACUUACCUAUGUUGCUUUGGCAGGCCCGGCUGCAGACCGCCGGCGCACGCUGGUCAGCGCCUGCCAGAGGACCCCCAAAAUCAUGAUAAUUGUCGUCCGAGUACUAUAAAAUAGCGAAAACUUUCAACAACGGAUCUCUUGGUUCUGGCAUCGAUGAAGAACGCAGCAUCUGACUGACUCGA